UCAAGCCAAAGAGAGGAAGAAGAAGCCGGGGAAGAGGGAUCAGACUCUAAAAGGAGCCUUCAGAUAUCACCUGUCAUUGACUGUGUGUCUAUGAAGAGUGGAUGGUCAAUAGACCAACCAGUGCACUUCAAAGACGACAUUACAUCUGACCAGAUACCCCAAAUGGGGAAGGAAGAGUCGUCUGGAUCAGGUUGUUUGACGAAUAAAGACUCAAGUGAUGCAGAUGUGCUUUUCAAACAGAAGUCAGAUUAUCCAAGGAAAGAGGAAGAGCUGGUUAUAGAAAAGCACCACUUAACCAGUUUAACCUGUUUACUAAAUGAAAGUAGAUCACACAGUCCCUAAGUCGGCACGGAGUGAAGUGCGUUCAUUUAGCCUUAACUGGUAAGUUUCCAUAUAAGAAUUUCAAUUUUUUAAAUAACUGUUUGAUUACUCACUUUCCUUGA
This is a non-coding RNA of Paramormyrops kingsleyae, 443 nucleotides long. Lineage: Eukaryota; Metazoa; Chordata; Actinopteri; Osteoglossiformes; Mormyridae. The record is from RefSeq and is a predicted model, not a curated record.